ACAGAGUCUUGUUCCUGAUUGUUAAAUUUUAAAGCAUCCCAAAGUUUGGUUUCACACUUGAAUGAAUACCAUUUGCAAGAUUAUUGCCACAAAUCCAGACACAUCUGUAUUCAAAGGAAGAAGCAGAGAAGAUUGGGCUAUGGUGGAUGCAGAGAGAAAGACGGAAUUGGAUAUGGAAUGGCAGAAGCUAUGACAAACUGCAAGAGUGCCUGGCUGUCACUGUUUAAAAAAUUAUAAUGUUUCUCAAAGAAAUUCCAAAGAACAUAGAAAGGAGACCACAGGAAGAAUCCAGAACUGCUGCCCAUCAUAAAAUUUUUCCAUCUGCAAUUUGUGUCUACAGUGUGCCAGUUAUUGAUGAGGGGUCUCACUCUGUCACCCAGGCUGGAAUGCACUGGCACAAUCUCAGCUCACUGCAGCCUCAACUUCCCUGGGUUCAGAGACAAGGUUUCGCCAUGUUGCCCAGGCUGCUCUCGAACUCCUGGACUCAAGUGAUCCUUCUGCCUCGGCCUCCCCAAGACCUGGGAUUGCAGGCUGAAUCCUAUUCCACCGUGUGGAUGGGCCCCAGCUUCUUACCCACCACCCAUCAGCGGACACUCGGGUUGCUCCCACCGUUGGGCCAUCGUGAACAGCACUGCAAUGAACGCGGUGGCCAGAUUCCUCUUCAAGUUCCCAGUUUCAUUUCUUUGAUACCCAGAAAUGAGAUUGAUGCAUCACAUGCUGCCCUCCCUGCCACCGGAAGUGACUCCCCUCAGCAAGGCCAAGGUGGCUCACGUGUCCCAGCACCCUUUCAUCUCUGCCCUUCUCUCUCGAGUGACAGCAUGACGUGACAUGAGGGCUCUCCAGCCAUGGCCUUGCAGCCCUCUUGGGGUCUUGCUGUCACCCAGGCUGGAGUGCGGUGGUAAGAUCAGGACUCACUGCAGCCUUGAACUCCGGGACUCAAGGGAUCCUUCUGCCUCAGCCUCCUGAGUAGCUGGGGCCACAAGCGCAUGCCACUGUGGCUGGUUAAUCUUUCCAUUUUCUGUAGAGACUGGUCUCACUAUGUGCCCAGGCUGGUCUCCAACUAGUGGCCUCAAGUGAUUCCUCACCUGGACCUUCCAAAGUGCUGGGAUUACAGUUGUGGGCCACCAUGCA
This is a long non-coding RNA of Pan troglodytes (chimpanzee), 1131 nucleotides long. RefSeq lists it as uncharacterized. The transcript is spliced from 9 exons. The record is from RefSeq and is a predicted model, not a curated record. NCBI's taxonomy places the organism in Eukaryota, Metazoa, Chordata, Mammalia, Primates, Hominidae.